Molecule: transfer RNA, 65 nt
Filed under: Dipodomys ordii (Ord's kangaroo rat)
Lineage: Eukaryota; Metazoa; Chordata; Mammalia; Rodentia; Heteromyidae
Rfam family: tRNA
About the family: Transfer RNA (tRNA) molecules are approximately 80 nucleotides in length. Their secondary structure includes four short double-helical elements and three loops (D, anti-codon, and T loops).
Source: Rfam by way of RNAcentral
GGUGGUUCAGUGGUAGAGCGUUUGCCUUGCAUGCAUGAGGGCCUGGGUUCAAUUCCUCAGCACCA